This 530-nucleotide ribosomal RNA is filed under the name uncultured bacterium. Its description in RNAcentral is "partial 16S ribosomal RNA". It matches the Rfam family "Bacterial small subunit ribosomal RNA", at positions 355 to 874 of the family's 1533-position model. The record is from RNAcentral.
UGGGGAAUUUUGGACAAUGGGCGAAAGCCUGAUCCAGCCAUGCCGCGUGCAGGAUGAAGGCCUUCGGGUUGUAAACUGCUUUUGUACGGAACGAAAAGACGCUGAUUAAUACCUGGGGUCCAUGACGGUACCGUAAGAAUAAGCACCGGCUAACUACGUGCCAGCAGCCGCGGUAAUACGUAGGGUGCAAGCGUUAAUCGGAAUUACUGGGCGUAAAGCGUGCACAGGCGGUUAUAUAAGACAGAUGUGAAAUCCCCGGGCUCAACCUGGGAAACUGCAUUUGUGACUGUAUAGCUAGANUACGGCAGAGGGGGGCAUGGAAUUCCGCGUGUAGCAGUGAAAAUGCGUAGAUAUGCGGAGGGACACCNAUGGNGAAGGCAAUCCCUGGGCCUGUACUGACGCUCAUGCACGAAAGCGUGGGGAGCAAACAGGAUUAGAUACCCUGGUAGUCCACGCCCUAAAACGAUGUCAACUGGUUGUUGGGUCUUCACUGACUCAGUAACGAAGCUAACGCGUGAAGUUGACCGCCU